GAGUACUAUGAAUGUUGUAAAUUUAAAACUCAAAGAACUUGGCGGUGUUUUAGACCACUCAGGGGAACCUGUCUCGUAAUCGACAAUCCACGUUGUACCUGACCUUUUUUUGUUUUCAGUUUGUAUACCGUUGUCGUCAGGUAACUUUUUAGAAUACAGAAGUUGGCUGGAAAAAUAGAUAAUUUAGUACGUCAAAUCAAGGUGCAGCUUAUAGAAAGGGGAGGAUGGGUUACAAUUAUUAAUUUAUAAUUACGAAUGAUUAUGUUAAAGUGUAAUGUUAGAAGGAGGACUUGAAAGUAAAUUGGAUUUAUAAAAAUAAAUUUGAAUAAGGCUCUGAAACGUGU
This 344-nucleotide ribosomal RNA is filed under the name Terebra laevigata. RNAcentral describes it as "partial 12S ribosomal RNA". It matches the Rfam family "Bacterial small subunit ribosomal RNA", at positions 875 to 1384 of the family's 1533-position model. The record is from RNAcentral. Lineage: Eukaryota; Metazoa; Mollusca; Gastropoda; Neogastropoda; Terebridae.